RNAcentral lists this transfer RNA (88 nucleotides) under Lepisosteus oculatus (spotted gar). It matches the Rfam family "tRNA". From Rfam's summary of the family: Transfer RNA (tRNA) molecules are approximately 80 nucleotides in length. Their secondary structure includes four short double-helical elements and three loops (D, anti-codon, and T loops). Further hydrogen bonds mediate the characteristic L-shaped molecular structure. tRNAs have two regions of fundamental functional importance: the anti-codon, which is responsible for specific mRNA codon recognition, and the 3' end, to which the tRNAs corresponding amino acid is attached (by aminoacyl-tRNA synthetases). tRNAs cope with the degeneracy of the genetic code in two manners: having more than one tRNA (with a specific anti-codon) for a particular amino acid; and 'wobble' base-pairing, i.e. permitting non-standard base-pairing at the 3rd anti-codon position. Lineage: Eukaryota; Metazoa; Chordata; Actinopteri; Semionotiformes; Lepisosteidae. The record is from Rfam by way of RNAcentral.
CCUUUGAUAGCUCAGUUGGUAGAGCAGAGCGCUGUAAUAGGAACCACUGGGAAUCCUUAGGUUGCUGGUUUGAAUCCAGCUUGAAGAA